UACGUAGGGUGCAAGCGUUAAUCGGAAUUAUUGGGCGUAAAGGGUGCGUAGGCGGUUUGGUAAGUCUUAUGUGAAAUCUACAGGCUCAACUUGUAGUCUGCACGAGAAACUGCCGGGCUUGAGUAUGGGAGAGGUGAGUGGAAUUCCUGGUGUAGCGGUGAAAUGCGUAGAUAUCAGGAGGAACACCUGUGGCGAAAGCGACUCACUGGACCAUAACUGACGCUGAUGCACGAAAGCUAGGGGAGCAAACAGG
Molecule: ribosomal RNA, 253 nt
Filed under: uncultured bacterium
Lineage: Bacteria
Description: partial 16S ribosomal RNA
Rfam family: Bacterial small subunit ribosomal RNA
Source: RNAcentral